CCAGACUCCUACGGGAGGCAGCAGUGGGGAAUAUUGCACGAUGGGGGAAACCCUGAUGCAGCGACGCCGCGUGAGCGAAGAAGUACCUCGGUAUGUAAAGCUCUAUCAGCAGGGAAGAAAGUGACAGUACCUGACUAAGAAGCCCCGGCUAACUACGUGCCAGCAGCCGCGGUAAUACGUAGGGGGCGAGCGUUAUCCGGAUUCACUGGGUGUAAAGGGAGCGUAGACGGCCAUGCAAGCCAGGGGUGAAAGCCCGGGGCCCAACCCCGGGACUGCCCUUGGAACUGCAUGGCUGGAGUACGGGAGGGGCAGGCGGAAUUCCUGGUGUAGCGGUGAAAUGCGUAGAUAUCAGGAGGAACACCGGCGGCGAAGGCGGCCUGCUGGACCGUGACUGACGUUGAGGCUCGAGAGCGUGGGGAGCAAACAGGAUUAGAUACCCCCGUA
This 444-nucleotide ribosomal RNA is filed under the name uncultured bacterium. RNAcentral describes it as "bacterial SSU rRNA". It matches the Rfam family "Bacterial small subunit ribosomal RNA", at positions 331 to 792 of the family's 1533-position model. The record is from RNAcentral.